UACGUAGGGGGCAAGCGUUGUCCGGAUUUAUUGGGCGUAAAGGGCUCGUAGGCGGCCAACUAAGUCAGACGUGAAAUCCCUCGGCUUAACCGGGGAACUGCGUCUGAUACUGGAUGGCUUGAGAUUGGGAGAGGGAUGCGGAAUUCCAGGUGUAGCGGUGAAAUGCGUAGAUAUCAGGAGGAACACCGGUGGUGUAGACGGCUCUCUGGACCGUAACUGACGCUGAGGCACGAAAGCGUGGGUAGCAAACAGG
This 253-nucleotide ribosomal RNA is filed under the name uncultured bacterium. Its description in RNAcentral is "partial 16S ribosomal RNA". It matches the Rfam family "Bacterial small subunit ribosomal RNA", at positions 524 to 776 of the family's 1533-position model. The record is from RNAcentral.